RNAcentral lists this long non-coding RNA (388 nucleotides) under Ananas comosus (pineapple). RNAcentral describes it as "long non-coding RNA (ACOM_LNC009391)". Lineage: Eukaryota; Viridiplantae; Streptophyta; Magnoliopsida; Poales; Bromeliaceae. The record is from RNAcentral.
ACGGCGGAAAACUUGGUAGCACCAAGUGUUUCGUGCUAUUAAUAGCAUAGUCGCGGGACUCUCUCUCUCUCUCUCUCUCUCACUCAAUAUAUAUAUAUAUAUAUAUAUAUAUAUAUAUAUAUAUAUAUAUAUAAAAUUGAGCUGGAAUGCUAUUGAUAGUAUUUGGCCACUUUGGCUAUCAAGUUUUUAACUCUUGGAUCAGAAAUUAUAGGGUUAGAAUGAUAUUAGUCUUUUAAGGUCGAGUGGUCCCCCUAAGGUUGAGUGGUCCCCACAGGAUAAUAGUAUUAAUCUAAAGAUUAGAAAUGAUUAAAAUAACUGAUCUAAAGGCGAAAAAAUCAGAAACAUCGUAUCUUCUAUAUUUGCGACAGCAUAGUAGCUCUAAUAUAUA